CCGUAACACAAUUAUUGUGACCCAAAAAUCGUUUUGGACGAAACCCUCACCUCACGUACAAUCGGUUUUUCCUCAAAACCAAGAUCGAUAUCUUUCCUCUCCUAUCCUUUCUUAUCUCCAAACACACAUACACAUACACUCUCUCUCUCUCCUCUUCUCGUCUCUCUUUCUCUCCUUUAUCAUACAGCCUCUCCCUAUUAUCACCGACCACAACAAUGGCGGUCAAAGGCUAGCACGGCCCUAUAUCCUGGUUGAUCUCUCCCUCCCUCAAUCUUUCGUAGAUUUCUUUCUUGAUCUCCCUCUUGUUCCCUCAAUUUCUUCUCCACCUAAACCUUGGGAGUUGUUCUUGAUGCAGCACAAACCCCAACGAUGUCCUGUAGGGCCGGUCUCCUUCCUCGCCAACGACUUUUUCUUGAUCGUGGAUUGCAACCGAACUACUGCUAAGAUUAAUUAGCAGUAGUUGUUGGCUCUUCUUAAAGCCUUUUAUUGUCCACUUAGGCUGUUCCAUCAUUUGAUCAUUUUCCCUUGGCCGAGAACUAUGCCUCAGUGUCUAAACAAGCCAAUCGAUGCAGCUCUAUUGUGCCAAGAAUGUUGUUUGGGCCGUUCCCAGAAUCAAACAGCUGCAUUCUCGAAAUUUCUAGGCAAGAGGGUUGCAUACUAGGUUCCAUUUAUCAGAUGUAUGCCCUAGAAGCCAACCAGACUGACACAUGUAUUUUUUUUAGGACAUAAAUUUAUAUUUGACUUCAUAUAUUAUGAAUGAAUUUGGAAUUUUCUAUUUAUAUUUUGUAUGUGUACAUGAAUCGUUCAAGAAAUAAUAAGAUGAUACCACAUAUUCUCUAGAGUUGAGAAUUUGAGAUAUGUAUCAUUAGUGGUUAAUUUCUAAAUAUUUUGUAUGUGUACACGAGAAGUUACUUGGAUGUCUACUUACUUGUUAGCGACUUACUCAAUGUUGUAGUAGUGUGACUGGUCCUUUAACCUGUGGUGUCUCAACUAUUCAUAAUAAAGUUACUGUAACUUGACUAUACAUACACUUGGUCCGAUCCCUAACCAUUUGGGUUAUUGCGGUGUAUGUUUGCAGUCCUAAGAUGGAUGACCCCGUGGGAAGUAGGAUGUCACAAUUGGUAUCAAAGCCAAUUACUAGUCAAAAGUGUAAGAAUAUGUCUCGGCUGAGUCGGGGUUAUAUUGCGGCCAGAGGGCAGCUCUCUGGCUGAUGAUUGUUGUGGGUGGAGUGUGGCUCUCCACAAGAUUGGCUAAGGCUAGCGAGAUGAGUCUAAUAUUGCCUGGUUCUUAGAAAUGUGCUUGAGCCUGACGAGGAUGUCAAAGGGGGAGGGUGUGACACCCUUAGGAUUUGAAAUAGUCCUAUAUAUAUAUGAGAUAUAAUAGUGCUAAACUUCUUAACCCAGCUAUAACAUUAUUUUGGAUAGUGGCAGGCCCAAAAGGUUAAAGGAGUAAAGUGUGCUAGGGUCAGAGUAGUCUUAGGAUAGGCGAUCCCCUGAAAACUGAAGUGUUAUAGUGUUCCAUUCUAUUGGAAUGUCACUACAUGCUACUAGGCAUCAUUAGUGGAUUGUGGGACCCACGAGAGUUUUCUCAAUAAACGAUGGACUGACUUGAAAUUAUUCCAACCUACUGAAAAGAGUUGCAGUGAUAUUAUUGAUGGUGAUCAUAAUAUAUCUCACUAUCAGAUAAAAUAGAACCUAUGAGGUCACACAUAUAAAAGUUGUGACUGAUCGGAUAGCUAAAUCAUGAUUUUGCAAUCGCUAGAGAAUCUAAUUGUCAACAUGUUGAUAAUUGAAUUAAUUUGUAAUUAUUACAAAUUAGUAGAAUUAAAAUACAAAUAGAAGAUUUACUAAUAGUUAGUGAAUUGUGAGAGAACUUAUGUGCAAAUAUUGCAUUACUAAUUUAAUUUGAUCAAAUUAGCAUUGAGUUUUAGUCGAAUUAUAUUGAGAUUAAUCAAUCAAACUGAUUAAAGAUAAGAUAGACUUAACCUUAGUAUUAUUCUUAUCCUUAAUAGUUAUUAUCACUUAUAAAAAACGAUUAUAACCCUCUUUAUACGUUCAUAGAUUUUUUAGAAAAAAUUAACCGCCACCCCUCCUCUCCUCCUCUCCCUUGUUCUCUCCUCAUGCAAGGAGAGUUUUAAUAAAGAUCCAUCAGUAGAAAAAUGUUCUCUACAAAGAAUCUAGCACCUUGUUGAGGAUUUUGAUAAGAUCAGCAAACUUAUGUGGAUAUCUGCAGAGGCUAGAUGCAUGUGCGGUUUCAAAAGAACCAAAUUCUACGAUCAUCAGAUUGCAGUGUAGAUCUACUAGCGUAAUGGUAAAGAUCAGAUCUUCCCCUUUUCUUUUUAAAUCUUAAAUACAUGAGAGAUCCUAUUUUUCGUGUUCUUGAGAUCAUAUCUUGAGUUUAAAAUCAAGUUUUGUUUGAUUUUCUUUUUUUAUUAUGCUUUUAUCAUAUGCAAAAUCUAACACCAUUGGCUUCCUCCUCACGGACACCUCGAUCUUGAUUCAUUGCACUUCAUGGUAAAUAACCUCUAUGAUUAUUUGCAUUUGUCUUUCGUAUUUUUGGUGUAAUUUUUGGAGUAGCCGUUAUUCUUUUUUGUGAUAUGCCAUGUUUUGAUGCCGUUAGCAUGUCGAUUCGUGUCGAAUCCAGCUGUCAGUCAUGAUAAGCCUCUUGCUAGUUGAGUAAGUGUCCUUUGGCCUUUGUGUUUGAAUUUUGUGAAGCCAAAAAAUGCCCGAAAUUUUCUUCUGUGCGUGUGCUGCCUAGUACUAAAAAGUUGGUGUCGUUUAGGGUUCAGUGACUGAUUUGAGUAAACCACUGGAUGUGGGGCUGAUUUGAGUGAACCACUAGUCGUGGUUGUUCUUGGAGAGAUCCCUUCAGUCUAUAGUGCCUUGUAGUCAAAUUUGAUGCAACAAAACACCCUGGGGAGUAAUCGGAGCGCAUAUGUUGUCCCAAACACCAAAAACGACAAAAUUGGGACGGAAUUGGGUCUUUGGUAGCCUAAACUCAUUGCUUGGGUGAGAGUUGUGGCUGCAUAGGAAUGUCGCUCACUAUCUCAGAUCACCAAAAUAGUCAGUGAUGAUUGACAUACUGUAGAGGCUAAACAGAAUGUUGGUGUUGCCCUGGCGCCAAAAACGUCAAAAUUUGGGAGCUUUUGGACUGAUUCAGGUGCAUUGCUAAUUGUGGAUACACUCGUAGACAUUUCUGUUGUCCUUAUAUCUCUAGAGGGUAUGUUGGGUGCGCUGCUAAACUGUACGAUGUUCUCAUGUGUAUUUCAAACCCAAAGUGACGUAGGAAUGCCUUUUUAGGCCGUUUCGCCUAAUCUGGACAGCGAAAAGUGUUCAACCAUGCUAUUUGCUAGCUAGGGAAGAACUCCAUUGGUGUCGUGUUGCAUUUUAGAUCGACCCUUGGGGUUUUUUGUUUGUCCCUUGCUAUUCCCUUGCUAUCCCGGAGCCAAAAAUAGCAAGUUUUAGACUUGUCGGGGCAAAAUUUUGCCAGUAUAUCACACUGCUUGUGCAUUCAAACUCUAGGGGUUGUUAAAAGUCUUCCAAAGAUUCCUUGCCAACACGGGACAAUCUUAGUGAUGCCGCCAAUUCCUAUGCCAAAAUUGGCGUAAAUCGAAAUCUAUUACGGCUUGUGUAGAGGUUGUGGCCUUCAAUGUAGCACACUACGUGCAUUCCUGACCACACGAACUUCAAAGUGCUUUUUGAGAUAGCGGAGAAGAUUAGAGAUGUCUAAGAUUGGUUGUUAGGUUGGGUCAUAGUUAUGGGUUUUGAUGUGGGUCCCAGAAGCCGUACUAUGAGGCUUGUUACGUAAGUCGUCCUAUAGACGGAUGAACUUAGGGACGAGUUUUGACACAUGUGUGAUUGGUCUUGUUUCGAGUGAUACCUAGGGAGACUUGUUGAGCUGAGGCUUCCUAGUCACAGACUUGAGGUUGGCGCUUCGAUCUGAAGUUGAUAGUGGUUUCUUUCUCAGUAUUUCAUAUUCAUAUCUUGUUAUUAUUUUACUUGCACCUACCUUGCAUAUUUAUAUCUACUUACAUCGCUUGUUAGUAGUUUCAUACUAAUUACUUGUUUGCUAUCUGCUAUAUCACUUUGCAUAAGGACAUUGAGAUGUAGAGUUUUUAGUGUUUAUUCAUUAUUAGUCAUAUAUAUUUGAUCUAUAGUCCAAGUUGUACUUGUUGACACUCUUUGGGAGUCUUUUGGCUGAUUGUUGUUGUUUGACAGUUCAGUUGACCAUAUUGCAUAUGACUACCGUUGCUUCUUGUUGUGCAUAUUGCAAACACAUGCACUAAGGUUUGAUCCUCCCAUGGGUUAUACGUAUUUAUUUUCAAAAAUAUGGUUGGUUUAAGCCGCCAACCAAGAUUUGUGCGUAAUGGGUUCAUGCCAGCUGCUGCGCGAUUGCCCCAAGUCCGUGAGAUAGUGGUUUGCCUGUCAAGCCCCAUGGCUCUUUUUUAAAAUUCUUCUUAAUGAAACUAUUGAAAAACGUAAUUAUUUUUUAAAUCACCGAAGACACCCCGAAGUAUGCAUAGACCUGCCAUAUGGAUAGAGGCUCAUUUAUACAAAUGGAUAGAGUCAUCCCUGUAUAUGCAUAUGAUAUAUAGCACCUAAAAUAGAACGUUAACCAUAGAUACAACCACAACAACCAACAAAUAUGUACAUGAAUAAGAACAACUGAGCAUCUAAUAGGAGGGUGACCGACGAAUAGUAAUAAUCACAUUUAUCCACGUGUAUGAAUCCGUUAUUAAUCAUGUACCAAUGAAAUGAUCAACUAAAAUGAUAGUAAACUGAAAGUCAUCAUCUAUUUAAUCAUUACAAAUCAAUGAGAAGGAAACAAUCAUUGAAACUAAAGUAAUCUAAACAAACACAGGAAUAAGAUAAAUUGAUCAUUCAUGACUCAUAGCUCGGGACACAUCUAUCUAGUACCGUCCUAAUGCACCGUCCAGACUCUCACCGCUAGUGUCACUUAUAAAAACAAGGAAUAAGAAACAUAUAAAAUAUUUUUCAGUGGGUACUGCAAGCAGAUGAAGGCAAGCAGUACUCACUGAAAAACAAAGGAGAUAGUAAUCAACUAAAUGAACAGAUAUAAUGGAUAUAUAGUAGCAAUAACAAGCUGAAAGGAAAUAAUCAUCAGAUAUACAACUAAUUGCUACUAUAUAAAAUAUAAUACAAGUAUGCAUCAACUAGAUGAAUAGUCCAAAUAUACCCAAUCAAACCGCCAUGUUGGUAUAAUGACCUCAAGUAAUACAACAUUCUGCUUUUGCAUUUGGCAUAUGGCCCUAGCAAAUAAACUGCAUCAGGCUCACAAGUCGGAAAUAUGACCACUUUUUCGAAAAAGAAUACUAUUGCAGUGGCCAAAUCACCGGUGUACGUGAAAUACAUGUGGGCUGUGACAAUUGGUACAAUAUGCUCAAUUGCCAACUGUCGUUAGAUAGCCGAGAAAGAAUCCACAAAAGCCACCGAACAGUCGGGUCAACCAUAUCUCAAAGAUAUCACAAUAACAUCGAUCAAUCAAGUCAACCAGAUAAUAGGAUCAUCUACUAUAAUUAUGUAAUAGAUAUCUAGGUGUCACCGACCACAAGGUCAAUCAAAGUAUACUAGUCAUGCAAUAACAUCCAAUCAAUAAAGGAAUACCACUCUACAACUAAAUCAUGAAAAUAUAGAUAUUCAACAAGUGUAGAUCAAACAAGCUAUGAAGUCUAGUGGUGUACGAAGUGCUUAACAGAAAUCAUAUAAUCAAUAGGAAGUGAAAAGAAAAGAAAUCACCGAGUAGGUACCACUAUACCAAAUUUGGAUCCAAGCACCUACAUCAAAGUCAACGAACACCUGCGACUCUGCUGAUACACCCAGACCUAUGAAAGAUCCCACAGAGUCACAAGCCAUUCCACAACUCAAGACUAACCCUAAGUGACUCAAAGUCAUUUAACUCACAACCUUAAUACCACUGAGCAAUCAAUUCCUUUUACCGAUUCCCAAAACUCGCUGGAAUUGUCGGAAAUACAUUGGAACACUUUUGAAACCCACGAAGUCUCCCAAAAGAUACCAAUCAUCACCAUAGACCACCUGCUACCUCGAAAUGCACCAAUUUGGGUGUCCAUGAAGCAACACACAAACACAACGCUAAAUAGCGCGUUUAAUGAAAACUGUCUACAUUAGUUCACCGAAAAAGCUGAUUUUGGUUUCUAAACCCACCGCAAAACAGCCAAGAGGCAACGAGAGCAGCCAGCCAAGAGGCUCGAUACCUGAAACAGGGCAUUCAUGUUGAUUUAUCGUGAAUCUGAAACUGAAUCGCAAUCCAAAACCCGAUUUUAGCGACGAUCGCACUGGAAACUUAUUUAAGGUCCACAAAGGCCAUCAGACCUAGGACAACCAGUCCAGAGGUCCGGCGUAGUUGGUUCGCACUACUCCAGGUAGCCAACAUGGCCUAAUUACCAAUAGGACCCUAGGCUUACAUCAAAUAACAUUAUCAAUAUGUAAAAAUGGGGUUUCUGGCUUAUUACCGAAAAUCCUACGAUUCGAAAACUAACCAGUAGUGCGGACUAGUAGGUAUCAACAUUUCGAAAGCCGUGCUCACUAUUUGGAGUGCAAACGGUGGCUGAGGAGCAUACUGGAGCAACUUGUUCUUUAGGUUCCAAAGUCUGCAGAAGCUACACUACGAAUCCUGCAAUCCAAGGCCAAAUGAAUUGCAGCAAAAGUUAGCGCGGUUAUCAGCAAACCCUCCGGAGGGAUGUGCUCACAAGUCGGGAUGUUGCCGGCAUUGGGUUUGGCUUUUCUUUUCGGGCUCCGGCGGCUAGAAGUGGUGCACGCUGGCCAGGAGGGCUGGCCAGCAUAGAGAAGUCCAAGGUGACGGCGACCAGUGAUAGGAGACGGUAGUGGCGACAGUUCAUGAGCCGCAACCAAUCUUUAUGCACCUCGGGUUAGGGUUGAGUUCCCGAGCAAGGUGGUGGUUAGGGGCGAUGGAGCGGCACUAAAGGAAGGCGCCUUGAAGGUCGGCGGUAGCGCCAGAUCUAGUGAUGCAGUCGAAUCCUUCACAAAUUGGGUUUAGGGCCCUAACCCCAGCUCGAGAGGGCUCGACGGCGCUAGAGCUAUCGGAGAGGAAUGCAAGAACCCUAUUAAGAGGCCGGUGGCGUGGGUCUAGGCUCGAGGUCGGGGAUUGGCGCUGGUGGUACGGGGGAGGGUGUACUGGCGGCUGGGGCUGGAGGAAGAGAAGAGGGCAAAAUAGGAUUAAGAAAACCUAGUUUGCUUUUAAUAUAGUUUUGUGAAAUUACAAGUUGGUCCCUCAAAUCUCAAUAUUUCAUACCUAGCGCUAAGCAGCACGCAUACUUUCUGAAUCCCACCUCUUUACUAAUUUUUGCACGAAACAAUACAUAAAAUGUCUCGCUUUUUCCUGAAAAAUUCAUUUUUCUUAAUUUUCUCUUUGUUUUAUGCUUUAAUUCAUGCAUUUUGUUGGGCCAAUAAGGCGCGGACACGUGGUACCCCGGUACACCACAGCGGUUCUAUUUAAAAGCAGUAAUUUCUGCUUUGCACCGGGAGCAUCGAAAAGCGAACCCCCGCAUGAAUUAAGGGAGGUUACAAUAACUACGAGCAGUUAUUAGCGGUUCCAAUCGGUUGAAAGUGGCCCGAGAAAAUAAGAGUAGUGGCCGAUCGUGGGAAAGCAAUAACCGAUUAACAAGGGCAGUCUAUAAAUAGGCCAAUAAUGCCCUCCAAAGAGGUCUUUUUCCCAUGAACAGAAGACCAACCUUAUUUUCUAUGCAAUUUCUUCGCAUUCCUUAUGGGUAGUUUUACUUGUAACCUUUUAUUUUCCAGCACUUACUGUUUUUUCCUAGGAGUAGAAGUAAACUAGAUCAACCGAGUCUGUAUGCCCAUAAGCACACUCAAUCCCUGUAUUCUCUCACCAGUCAAUUUCAAUAUAUUUAAAGGCUUUCGGCUAUUUAUGCUGACCUAUCACUAUGUUUUCUUCUAUUCGACUCUUCUGCCAACCUUAGUUUCUGUGCAGUCCGUACAUUCGGUUCAUCCAGCCGAACCGAUUCUAAAGUAGAGAUUUUGAACUCGGCUGAUCCGAUCCCUCGUCAGCCGAAUCGCUUGAUCCAGUUGAAGGGCGCAAACUUCGAGGGUCACUGAUCGUAGUCGUUCCGCUUCCCGACACGCUUCUCUAGAAGGAUCUUUGACCAGGUCAAAGAGGAGGGAAUUCAGCACCCAACACAUUUACCUCGCAUAAUCUGAAAACGGACUUCACCACGACUUCCGACAUUGCCAAACCAUGCCGGUGACAAUUUUGUUUCACUAAAAACUAUUUUGGUUUACGAAUUUAACCUUUUUCCUGAGUUUCUUGAAUCAAAACUCGAUUUUUUUUCAAAUUCAAAUUUUAUCAUCUCCACAUUGUCCUAGCUAGAUACGUGUGGAUUGAGAAUUGAUUGUUACCACUUGUUGAUGCAUAUAUAAUCCACAUGAUUACAUUGAUAGAUCAGUACCUUAUCAUGAAAGUCAUAUUUGUUCAGUUACCAUUAUAGAAGAAUAGCUUCCGUUUUAGUUACAAUUAUCCUAUUUAUCUAUAUUUUUCUCGUUAUUGUGCUUUCGAUUACCCACUUCUUGACCAAUAUCUACAUCUUGCCUUUGGCAGCUUGUGGUGUUCGCUGGAAAAUACGUGUACAUAUUUCUCAUCUCCCUAUUUUCAUAGAUAUUUUGGAUGGCAAGGCAAGUGACAUGAUGUGAGGUCGCGGUAGAUAUACCGUCUUGAGCUGACCCAUGAUACUUAGUAUUAGAUGUAUGCCCUAGAAGCCAACCAGGUUGAUACAUGUAUUACUUUUAGAAUAUAAAUUUGUAUUUAAUUUUAUAAGUUAUGAACGAAUUUGGAUAUUUAUUUUCAUUCAUGUUGUAUAUAUGCUCAUGAAUCGUCUAAAGAAUUAGUAAGAUGAUGACAUGUUUUCUCAAGAGUUGAGAAUUUGAGACAUGUGUCAUUGGAAAUUAAUUUCUAAAUGCUCCCGACCGAUAGAUCAUAACAGGGAUGAUGAUUGAUUCGAUGAGAUUGGUGCACAGGUCGCUUCCCUCUAAGGUAGACAUGUCACGCCCCGAGACCGCUACCAAUUUGGCCGGUUCGGGCGCGUCGGACAGACGCCGAACGGACAGCACCUCCCCUGUCCCCCCACGGCUAAACAACGAGAUUGUGUACAACAAGUGCCCAGAAAACAACUUGAUCACAUACACAAUCAAACAAUAGCGAGAGCACAACCAGUGCUAAUUAACUAAAGAGCAAGCAUCACAAGUAAUAAACAAGUGAAUAAAAGAGAGAUACUAAUCUAUUACAUCCAUACAACUUAAUACAUUUGAUUGCUUUACAUUCUUCCAAAAUACAAUAUAAACUUAAAGUUUACAAUUUCCCAAAAUAUCUCACACCUAUACAUCAUUUACUCUCAAGUAUGUACAAGGUAGCUCUAAUGCAAAGGGUAAGAAAACUAUACUACUACAACCUCUAGGGCGCUAAGCCCUUACCGCGAUCAACUGUCGGUCCGUUCUCGUGUGUACCUGUACCCCAAAACCACACGGGGUGAGAACUAUAUAAAUAUAGUUCCCAGUGGGUUCGGCCGUCGACUUCGCUGAUCUUCCCACUAGGUCUAAGCUGGCACAGAUAGAUAGAUAGAUAUUGAACUGUAACUAAGAUCUACUAUGCCAUCAAUAGUCAAAUGUAUGAACUACAACAUAAUAUGCAAUCUACCACAUAAUACUAUGUCAAGAAGUCACACACGUCUACUCAGUCACACAGGGGAGGAUCCGCUUACUCACCCAACUCACAAUCUAGUCACAACGGGGAGGAUCCGCUCACUCGCCCGACUCACAAUCUAGUCACAACGGGGAGGAUCCGCUCACUCGCCCGACUCACCAUACAAGUACCACAACCCAAUCUUGAUCUCAAGGGUGAGGAUCAGCUCACUCACCCUACUCACUUGGGAAGGAUCAGCUCACUCUUCCAAGACCGUCUGCGGGACCCAUAAAGGCUAUCCCUCGGGACCCAAAAAGGCUAUCCCUAUCAUGUGACAACUCCGGAGUGCACUGCUUGUGUGGAGCGACCACACCAAACUUCGAACAGACAUAUGAGUAUGAUCAAAUCCCCGUCACCGAGAAUACCCUACCACUCUAGACAACAUCACUUGGGAACUAGCUCAUCCCUAGGUUCCACCUGUGACAAGUAUUUUCUCUAUUCUUUACUUAUCAUGCCACUCGUCAAGUUUAACAUUAACUAGAUGCCAGUCGUUCUCAAUACUCUAAUUGUACACAACGGCUAGGUGUUCUUUCAACUAGAGUCUAUCCACAUUAAUCUUGUCAUUAUAGGCCAGGUUUCACUACACUAUGUCCCAAUCACAUGCAUACUAGGUACAAAUAUCCAAGCCAACAACACUAUAUUACACUAGCAUGUAAGAAUAUGUAAUAAUACUAAUCAAGCACCCUAUAAUGCAUCAUGCUGAAUAUGUAUAAUUGAUCAACAUAGAGAUACUUAGACAUAAGGAGAAGCCCAGUUGCUUCGGGAUGACACCCCCCACCUUUUAUCGCUACCACGAGGCUAGGGUUCCGUUCUUGUGAUUUUAGGAAGCUUUCGCCGCAAAUUGCGGCAAUCUGUACCUUAAUAAGCUUUUUCCUCAAUAUCUUUGUACCGGCUAGACGAAUCGUCGAACCGACUUCGCCAACGCGUCAGAAUACCUAGCAAUUAGGUUUACAGAGGGUCAAUUAAGAUCAAUCCCAACUAUUUACAAAAACCCCUUUUUGGAGCCCUAGGUUCCAACCGGUGCAAGAAUCCCCUUCAAGCUCUAAGAUUCGAGCCUAAAGCUUCUAUUUGGCAUCAAAAAGAUCCAAUGGAACCAAUUCUAGAUGAUAAAAACCCAACUAGAAGGAUCUACCAUGAGAGCUCUAGUGAGCUUACCUCUAUAGCAAGCUCCAAUGGUGGAGAAGAAGAAGAAGAUGAUGCUACUUCUUCUCUUGGCCUCAAUCUCCACCAAAAUCUCUUCCUCCUUCUUCCUCUUCUUCUUCUCCUUCUUUUCUUUCUAGAGAGAGAGAGGGAGAGUUUUAGGGUGUUAGGGUUGAGAGAAAUGAGAGGAGAGAGAGAACCCAUGCCUCUAUAGCCUUUCAUAAGUGCAAAAUUGUAAAAAACACCCUCAACAAUGCUUGCCUCACAACAGCCCAAGCUGGGCAAUUUUCACGUUCGGAGACCGGUCUCUCCCAGCCUGGGACCGGUCUCUCCCAGCCAGGGACCGGUCCCAGAGGGACCUUCAGCCCAGACUUAGCCAAAUUUCAGCUUCAUCCGUUUUCGCUUCGUUUUCGCUCGUUUUCGCUCGUUUAACCUCCGAUUCUUCUCAAAUCGAACCGAGACUCUCCAAAUAUGUUUUCGAGCGUAUUUUCAUCAUCUUUUCAUCCACGCUAAUGCCGGAUUUAGCUCACGGACCAACAUAGCCUUUCGGAUUUCGUUUUUGCGCCUACGCGCACCGAAACGCCCGAAUACUUCCAAACCUCACCGAACUUCACCGGAACCUUUCAAAUGGCUUCCCAACCAAAUAUAUACCGUAACUUCAUGAUUUUAGAAGUCCGGUACCUUACAAGACAAGUCUCGAGUCAACAAUGUCGGGACACUGGAGCCAAUGUCUAGGUGGUUUUUAAAGAACGAGGGUACCAAGCGGAACCAACGUAAGAAGUCACUUGGAUAUGUACUCACUCAUCAGUGACUUACUCAAAGUUGCAGUAGUGUGAUUGGUCCUUUGACAUACAAUUACUUGGCUAUUCAAACUGAGGUUACUGUAUUUUGAUUGUACUUACACUUGGUUCCUAACCAUUUGGGUCCUUACAAUGCAUAUUGGUUGUAGUAGGUUUGUUGUAGGAUUAGGGUGUGCACCUAUAUAAAAUCUAUCUCCCUUGUUAGAUGAGGGUAGAGUAAAUAGCGGAAAGGAUUUCCGAUAUUAGAAAUUUCAGCUGAAUAAAUUUGACAUAUAACAGAUGAUGGAGUUUGACGAGUUAUUCGUUGAACUGUGUCUAGUCGAGGCUCAUGAUAGAAGAACUGUAUCGCAUGUUAACCACACUUAAAGGUUUACUAUUUUAUUUUACUGGAAUGCCACUACAUAAUGUUAGACAUCACUAGUGGGUCAUGAGACUCAUAAAGGUCAUCUAGAUGAUCAAUAAUUCUCAUUGAGCUAAGUUGGAAUUAUUCCCUCCUACUGAAAGGAAUUUCAGUAAUAUUGUUGAUGGUGAUAACGAUAUAUCUAACUACCAAAUAGAAUAGAACCUAUGAGGUCAUACACAUAAGAGAUUGUAACUGAUCGGAUAGCUAGAUAACCAUUUUUGAGUUACCGAAGGAUCUAAUUGUCAAUAUGUUGAUAAUUGGACUAAUUUAUAAUUAUUAUAAUUUAGUGGUAUUAAAGUGCAAAUAUUGUAAGAGAGGACUUAGUAAUAGUUAGUAAGUUGUGAGAUGACUUAUGUGUAAAUGUUGCAUUGUUAAUUCGAUUUCAUCAAAUUAAGAAUGAAUUCGAGUUGAACUAAAUUAGGAUUUAAUUCGAUCAAACUAAUUAUGGAUAAGAUAAACUUAACAUUUUUGUUCUUAUUUUUAAUGAUUAUUAUGUUAUUAUAAAAGAAAUUAUAUCUUUCUUUAUAAUAUAUGUAAUUUUUGAAAAAAAAAUCCUAGUCAUCAUCCCCCUCCUCAUCUCUUUUGUCUUCUUCUCAAGUAGAGAUGCUUUAGUAAAAGAGACGUUCUCUACAAGAAAGUUAGCAUUCCGGUAAGGAUAUCAAUCAGAUCAACAAUCCUAUGUAGAUACCUACAGAGGCCGGACAUAUAUGCAGUUUCAAGAGAACCAAUUCUACAAUUAUCAGAUUGUAAUGAAGAUCUACUCGCGAAAAGGUGAAAAUAAGAUUUUUCAUUCCUUCUUUUUUAAUCUUAAAUAUAUGAGGGUCCUAUUUUGUGUUAUUUUUCAGAUUGGAUCUCGAAUUUUUAAAAAUCAUUUUUUUUUUCUCCUGCAUUUUUAUUGCACACAAAUACUAACACUUGGGGAGUGCCCAAGUGAUUUAGCUUAGUUGUUUUAUUGGUUUUGCUUAAUUAUUUUAUAUUUCAUUUCUAGUUUUACAAUUAUAUUGAAUUUAUAUUGCAGUAACCAAUGUUAUGGAUGUGGUGACUCAGUGCACUUUAUGUUAGUGGUUAUUGGUAAAAUCGUAACUAUACUUUUAAGUUGUUUUAAAUUGAUGAUAUAUGAUUUUAAAUGAUUUUGGACAAAAAUGGAGACUUCAAAUUAAUGUUUUUCUUGUGGGGCAUAAAGAGAAUUAAAAAACGAAAGCUUUUCUUGGAAUAUUUCGAUGUGUAGAAUAAGGUGAAAAUUGGAGGUUUUUGCUUGAUAUAAGUUGCAGGGAAUAAGAAGAACAUAUAUAUUGUUGGAAUCUCAUUAUCUUCCAAUGAGAAAACAAUGCAAGUCAUGUAUGUAUAUAUGGUUUCUACUCGAUCGUGAUGAUUGGCUGUAAUAUUUAUGGUGUAGAUUUCUUUGCAUGUACAGAGCAAAUUUUGUUGGUGUGCGUGCAAAGUAAAAUUUUGAAUAUGGCGGACUGGCAGUUCUACAGUUCUUUUAUAGUAUAAUGGGGUUUGCAUUGACAAUGAUCAACGAGACUAACUUUUUUAAAAAAAGACUUCCCAUUUGUUUCUUGGUGCUGCGCGGUCGCAUUCGAAUAGAUCGAUGGUUGGGAGGGAGGGUGGGGGGUGGUCUCUCUGGAGGGGGCGGCAAAGAUUUUCGCGGGGCGCUGCUCCCGCCGAGGCGAGCAUUUUUUCGGUGGGGGCGAUCCCUGUAUUACCGUUUUUGAUCCCGCUAUUCAACAUUAAAUGCUUCGGUUUGGACGCUGAUAAGGAUUUUCUUUUUCCGUUUUUUUUUUUUUUCCUUGACCACUACAGUGGUAGGUGAAAUUACAUUAGGCGUGUUUGGUUUAUUUUUUUUCAGUUGAUCGGCUCGGAAUCGGUGAUCCCGUUAGGUAGGAGUUGGUACGUCGCGUGGGGUGGGAGUGACGACCCAUUCGAGGUUCCGGAUUCCGUAUGUGGCGUAAUGGGAAUCCCCCAAUCACCUCUUUUUUCAAUCCGGCCUAGGGGGCCGGAUUGGAAGUUGAAUCCGGACGGAAUGGAUAUUUAUUCCGAUUAAAUUUAUUUUUUCAACUUUUUUAAUUAAACUAUGAGUUAAAAUUUAAAAAUUAAAUAUAUAAUUUUAAAUUUUAAUUUGAACUUAAAUUAAAAAUUAAAAUUUAAUCAAGUAUUUUGAAUCUAACUUAUGAAUUUGAAUUUAAAUUAAAUUAGAUUUAUAUAAAGUUUUAUUCAAAUUUUAUUUAAAACUUCAAUUAAAUUUAUGUGUUCAAAUUAAAAUUUAAAUUGUAAUUUUAAGUUUGAAUUUGAAUAAAUCGAAAUUUAGUUUUAUAUUUUGAAUUAUCCACUCAACUUCAAAGUUUAAUUUUUUUAAAAAAAAAUAGAUUUAAAAUUUUGACAUUAUUUCAAAAUUUUGAUGUAAAUGUUUAAUAUUUAAUUUUUAAUUUGAAUUUAAAUUAAUAUAUUAUAAAUAUAAAGUUAGUAUAUUAAUCUGAUUACGUUUUUUAUAUUUACCUGAACCAAACACCGACAAUGGAAAUAAUUUAUUCCAAUUCCGAUUCAGGUGAUGAACCAAACAGAAUUAAGUAAUGAGUCAUUCCGAUUCCGAUUCCAGCUUAUUUCGAUUCCGAAUCUGACUUCGAACCAAACACGCCCUAAAUUUGUGAAGAAUAAAUUAAAUUUAUUAUUUUAUUUUUUUUGUCUAAACAUUAAUUCUAUUUAAUUUGAUAGGCCGACAAAAUUGUUCAUCUCUAUUAUCAUAAUUGGCUUGCUUAUAAUAUGAAUUCCGAUUAACUGAUAGAUGCCAGCUUUUAAAGAAAGGAAAAGAUUACUUUUAGGGCACAUUUGGUUCAGAAAAGAAAUCGAAAUCAGAGUAAGUUUAAAGAAAGGAAAAGAUUACUUUUAGGGCACAUUUGGUUCAAAAAAGAAAUCGAAAUCAGAGUAAGAAUGGAAAUGGGCCGGAGUCGAAAACGAAAUAUUGUAAGAGGAAUUAAAAUCGAAGUCCAAAUUAUGUUUAAAUUAAAAUCCAAAAAAAUAAUUUUUUAGUAAAAUUUAAACUUAUUAUUCAAAAUUUUAAUAAAAAAUUUGAGUCCAAAUUUGAACUUACAAUUUGAACUUAAAAUUUUAAUUUAUAAUUCAAAUUCAAGAUCAAAGUCAAAAUUUAAAUUUGGAACUUUAACUAAAAAUUUAAGAAAUUAGUAUUUAAAUUUUAAAUUCAUAUUUCAAAUUUAAAUUUAAAAUUAUAAUUUAAUCUAGUGAAUUUAUAUGAUUAUAUUUGAACUCAUAUAAUUUUUAGUGAAUUUUUUUUCAAUCACUCUCGAAUCAAAAUUGACUCCGACCAUAAGGGAGUCACUUUUGAAGAGUUCACAUUUUUGCGGAAUGAAAAUCAGAAUGCCAAUCCCUCAAUCCAUACGCUUAUGGUGAGAAUGAAUUAUUCCAAUUUUUAUUUCAAAUCUCAAAUACUUCAAACGAAAUAUGCGCUUACAUUAUUAUUUUUUAUUGUCAAAUCAAUUGCAAACAAUUGUCAAGUUAGAGUUUGAGAUAAAAAAAAUACAAUACAUGUAGGAAUACUCUUUGAGAUUGCCGGCCACAAAUAACAGAUGUGUAAAAUUAAUAGGCAUUAGUUUUUUUUUUUUGUUUUUUUUUGAGAGAGAUAGCUAGCACGCUAUCCGCUUCGUUUAUUUUAUUUAGAAAUAAACUUAGCAAGAAAUGUGAAUCAAUUAGGAUUGAAAUUUGUGUCUCAAGUACCAACCACCAAGCCUUUUGCCACUUGCUCUAGGCAUUAGUAUUUUGUUAGAUGAUUCAAAACAAUUCAAAAACUUUGCUUAUUGUUGAGUUUGUAGUUUGAUAGGUUAUCAUUCAAGUUGAAAGUGAUACUCUAAUUAGCACUCUUGAUUUGUUAUUAAUUGCUAGUAAGUAUAAAUCAUGUCUAUGGACUAGAAAAUAAUAGUUUAAGUUAAUAUAUAUUUAUGAGAUAUNGGCUAAAGCAUUAUAUGAAUGCCUAAAAUCACUUUUGGGCUGAUUUGGGCUUUAUGUAAAAGGCUUUAGUAGGCCCAAAAGUUGCCAUCAUUUUGAAUGCUUUUUUUUUUUGAAAAAAAAAUCUUAAUGAUUUUGUGGUGUAACAAUAAGUUGUUGUAUUUUUAGGAUCAAUGCGUUAUGGUGUAUAUAUAUAUAUAGAGAGAGAGAGAGAGAGAGAGAGAGUGAGGCUACUAUGCUUCUGGAAGCACGGAGCCUUCCGUGCUUUCAGGUCGUUUUCGAUGUUGCCACUUUCGAAUUGUCGAUCGGCUCCGUAAAACUUGAUCUAGAGUAUUUGAAGUACUUAGAAAAUAAAUUUUAUAAUUUUUCGAUAUCAUUUGCCUAGUGAUCGAACGGACAAAAUCAAUAAUUUUAAUGGUCGUGGUGAGCCGUUUGCAAGUUUAACGGUGUAGAAAUAUCCAAAUUACAUGAAAUUUUGAUAGAAAAUUCUUUAUACUAUGCAAAACAAGAUCAAUAUCUUUGAUUUAAAAUUUUAAUGUCAUAUUAUUACAUUUUGUAAGAUUUUUAUUUUCAGCCGUUGAUUUUGAGCCCCUUCGUUCACUAGGAAAAUAAUAUCGUAAAAUCAUAAAAUUUAUUUUCUAGGUACUUUAAAUACUCUAGAUCAAGUUUAACGAAGCCGAUCGAUGGUUCGAAAGUCGCAACAUCGAAAACGAGCUGGAAGCACGGAAGGCUCUAUGCUUCCGAUAGCAUAGUAGCCUCACUCUAUAUAUAUAUAUAUAUAUAUAUAUAUACUGACCAUUUCGAAGCGUAGGGGCGGAAUUAGUGGAGUUAUUAAAAUUAUCUUAAUAUAUAUUUCCUAUCGCAUGGCCUAAGAAGUUGUCUACAUCAUUUUGUAAGUACACAUGUUAGCGUCGUGAAUUUCAAACAUUUAUGAUGCUUAAUUUUUGACUUUGGAUUAAGAUUUACGAAAGAGAUAAGUAUGAUGAUGUAAUUCUAAUAACACUCUAAAACUAACGGGAGAAUCUUACGUGUAAUGCAUGAAUCUUCUCUCUCGCACAAACAAUAUUGUUAUCUAAUUAUUUUCAUGUGCUUUAAAUGUAUUUUCUUUUCCAACAAAUAGUUGACCACGUGCUCUCUAUUUAUAUAUACCCCUGCGUGUCAAUUAUAAUAUACCAUGCAUGCAUGUGUAGAGACAAACCGGUAACUUAGAUUGGGUUUAAUAAAUCAUAUAUUCAUAAUUAAACUUUUAUAUAUAUAUAUAUAUAUAUAUAUAAUAUAUAAAAUCUUUCUAACAAAACAUUCAAAGAUUGUUGAGAAUUGGAUUUAUCUUUUACACCGAUAAACGAGGAAAACGUUUUAUCCGAAUAUUAAAAUUACAAAUUUUAAACCCUCUUGAUCAUUAAGUGCAAUGAUGUACGAAAUGAUUUGAAAUUGAUUUCUAAACACUUUAAGUGGUAUAGUAUCAUGUUCAACGGAGCGAUCGUCAAUUUGGGCAAGCUUAUUCAUCAAAAACAACUCUUUCGAUAGUAAAAUGGCCACGUUUCACUAUCGAGAGUAUUCUAGCUCAACAAUAUACUAUACUUAAUAAUAUAUAUAAUUAAUAUAUUAUUAUAAUAUAAUAUAUUAUAUAUAUAUAUUGAGUCGGCUGACUAUGCCUAUCAAUAGCACCAAACCCUUAUGUUAUUAAGUUUUCAGCCUGUUGGAUUAGCGCCUCUUUGAUUAUUUUUAUCCGUUAGUUAUGCUAUUCAAACCAACCCACUCAACCUAGAAAGAGCCACUCAUUAUUAACUGCACAUUCCUAAUUCAAGGGCUAAAAAAUUUCAAUACACCAAUAACGUUGGUUGCUAUUGAUAGUUAUGUCCACAAAAUUAUAUAGUGCUCAUUGAUAGUAUAUCGCCAUAUUAUAUACGGCCUGGAAUAACUAAUCAAUAGCCAAAGUUUUAGUGCCUAUUGAUUUUUUUUAGCUCUUGGAUUGAAUAAAUGGAGUGGUUAGGGAUGUGUGGGCCCCCAGGUGUAGUGAUGUGAUUGGAUUGAAUAGUAUAUUAACGAGCUAAAAAUAAUCAAAAGAUUAAUUAACAGUGUUAAAACUCGAUAGGCCUAGAAUCUUUUGGUGUAUCGUAAUACUCAGGCGGACUAUUUAAAUAUAUAUAUAUAUAUAUAGUUAUAUAUAUAUAUAUCUAAUAUUAUGAUACUAUACAUAAUUGAUAUCAAACGCUUAGCCACUAUUGAGUGUUCGAGCUGUCGGAUGAAAACGAUGUGUGCGGUUAGAAGGAUAAGUAGUUUAUUUAGUGUUUGAGGGGUGUUUGGUUGAAUGUACAUUCUAACGGGUGGAAAUUAUCAAAGGUAAAUUUUAACGGAUUAGAAAAUUCAAUAGUACCAAGAGUUUUGGGUACUAUUAGGAUUAGUUAUAGUGCGGACUAUAUAUAAUAUAUAAUAUUAUAUAUAUAUAUAUAUAUCUAUAUAUAUCUAUAAUUAUAUAUAUAUAUAUAAUAUAUAUAUAUUUAUAUUUAUAUAGUCAGUGCUUUGCUAUCGAUAGCACAAGCACUUGGUGCCUAUAAAAUUUUUCUUUUUUUACCAAGUUAGAUUAACCCCUUUGAUUAUUAUUUAUCUAUUAGAAUAUUACUAUUUCAACCACACCAUCAACCUUAGGGCCCAUAUCAUCCACCCAAUCUUCUAAUCAAAGGUGGAAUUAUAGCCAAGUCAUUGGUUGCCUAUUUAAUAGUUCCAUCCCAUUUUAUAUUAAUAUAUAUUAUAUUAUAUAUAAUAUAUAUUAUAUAUAUAUAUAUAUAUGCCUUUUUGAUAAAAAAUUCACUUAUUUUGGGUUUAUUUCAAAACCGGGCAAUUUUUGUUUUUUGCAGAUAUCGUCAUUUUUUCAGCAAAUGACCAAUAAUACCCUUUUAUAUAUUUUUCUCUCUCCUCUUUUUUUUCCUCUCUUUCUUCGAUCUCAUGUCGACGCGGACCUUUUUCUCUCUAUCUCUUUUUUUUCGUCUUUUUUUUUUCAUUCCUUUUUUCGUUUCUUUUUCCCAGAGAGUUCGUGUCCCGGCGUGGCGCCGUGCUCGCCGGCCUCGAUCGCCGAGAGGCUUAUGGAACACGCGCGCCGUGCUGCGAGCGAGCGACCGGCAGUGGGUCCGGCGACAAGCGUGAACGCUCGGCUGGAAGGCCGGGUGGAGCAGGCGUGGCGGACGGACAUGCGGGGGGGGGGCGGCGGGAGGGCGAAGGCCCGGGGCGGCUGUGCCGGCGGCACGGAUCCGCGCGGCUGAAGGACCCUUGCGCAGUUAGAGAGUAUCAACCUGAUCGCUUUCGUCUCACUGUCAACGAACGCCUACGGGGCAGCGAGAGCUCGGAGGAGUAAGGAAGCGUUCAUGCGCCUGGGGUGGGCCAGCACAGCUGUGGAGGAGGCGCGGGACGAGUGGCGAAGGCAGAAAUGAGAGCAGCAGAGGAAGAAGAAGAAGCAGAGGAGUUAAUAGAAAAAAAAAUGAGAGAGAGGACGGGCAGAGAGAGACAGCGCAGAGGAACAAGAAGGAGAAGAAGUGUUAAAAAGGAGUGGAAAAUUGCGAGGUGUAAGGUAGCAAAAUGGAAUAAAUAGUGUUUAAUGUGCAAAAUUGUAAUGUGUAAUGAUGUAAUGGAUGCAAAAAUAGUGUAAUGGUGUCUGGUGUUAAUAUGAUGCAAAUGUGUAAUGGAUGGUAAUUGUGUGCACAUUAUAAUGGUGAUAUGGUGUAAUGGUGUAAAAUUAGCUGAAUGGUGAUGGUCCAGAUUGCACCAUUAAGUGGCCAGAUUGAUUUUAUUUAAAAAAAAUUUUACACUAUUUUUUUUAUUCUUCUUCUUGGAUUGAACCAUUAGCUUUUUUUUUUCCUCUUUCUUUCUUCUUCUUCUUCUUCUUUCGAACAUGAAGCGUCGGGUAUCGGCGGCGGAGUGACGUAGGGGGAGAUGGAUCGCCAGAGGCCGGGCGCGCGAGGCGAAUGGGCCGAAUGGUUGGCUUCAAGGUGCUGGCGGCUCCGGGGCGGGGGGCCUUCGUGUCGUCGUUUCGUCACCGGGGAAUAGUAUGGAAACGGUAAGGAAGCGCGCGCCGGCGGCCUAGUAGCGAACAGCUGCGGCAGCAGCGCGGCGCCGGCGGUUAGUCGGGCUCUGGAAGUCGGCGCAGGGAGGGUCGACGAGGCAAGUAGAGUCUUCGCCCAGCUUGAGUAGGAGCGUUUGGGGAUCGAGCGGUCGGGCUCGGCAGUCGGACUGCGGUUGACCUCUCGGACUCUUGAGCACGGAAUCCGCGGUGGUCUUCGUUGAGGUCGACGUCGGUGCGAACUCAGAAGAGCUGGACGAGGUCCGGCGGCCUCCGGCGCGAUGGCGAGUGCUAGCCAGUGUGCUGAGGGAACGCUAGGUGACGGGCCUUCGGCCGAGGGCGCCACUUCCGGGUCGCUCCGCAUCCAGCACGGCGCGGGGCGAGCGUCCAUGGGAAAAGAAAAGAAAGAACUAAGAAAAAAAAAGGGAUGAGAGAGAAAAGAGGAAAGAGAAAUGUUAAGGGUUAUUUUUGGUCGUUUGAUUGAGCGAGACGAUCUGACCAAAAAACGAAAAAGGAUGGCCCGAUUUUGCAAGCCAAGAUAGUUGAUUUUUUAUGCAAAGGACACAUAUUAUUAUAUAUAUAAUAUAUUAUACACAUUUAGUUGAUGGUCAGUUUUUCUUACAAUAUGGUUUAAAAAGUUAUAUUUUGGAUAGCAGGCUGUUUUUGGAUUUUUAUUGUGUGCUUUUUCUCUUGUUUAUUUUUUUUUUUUGGAGAGAUAGGGAUCACACACGACCUGCCUUGUUUAUUUCAUUAGAAAUAAAAUAGUAUGAAAUGUAACAAACUAGGAUUUGAGCUUGGAUUUGCAGGUAUCCAACCACUGCAGCCUUUUGCACUGGCUCUAAGGACGGUCGCUGGUGCUUUUGGUUUGUUCUGUGGCUAACAAAAUCAGAGGGGUUAGAGGAAUCCAUAUAUAUAUAUUUUAUGUUCCUUGAAUUCAUUUUAUUAAAACAUAUUCUGAUGUUGGAUCGCUACUCAACUUUUUCAUAGUUUAUCAAGAUGUUUAAAUUAUAAGUCGAAGUCAAUAGUAAUUGUUGCGAUUCUUCAUUAAUUAUUGCAUCGUAUGCAUCACAAGAUAAAAUUACAUUUUUUUUUGUUCUAUUAUUAUAAUUAAUCCAGCAGAUGAUCUAACACAUUCUAUUAAUUCUUUCCAGCAAAGUACGUAAUCUAUACGCAGAAUCAGAUUCCCUCAGUUAGAUCUAGCAAAUAGAUCAAAUUUUUAAUUAUUUGGUCGAUCCGAGAUCUAAAAAUUGUUUACUGCUUAAAUUUCACUAACCACAAAUCCUAGGAUGUGUUGUAGAGGUUGGGGAGAUCUUGGGGCUAAUUAUACAGUGUGUUCCUGGAAAAUGAAAACGAUCAAAAGAUGACCAUUAUUAACCGCAAUCAAAUAUGAUAAAGAAUGGAAUACUAAUUCCCAAAUCUGAAUUUUUGUUUUGGUAGAAACGUGCAGAACUCAUCUGAACUAUAAGCCAUUUUGAAUUAUCUAUCCAAUUUCUCAAAAUUUUGAUUUUACUAUCCAACAUUUCUUUUUAUUUGACAGUCAGUCAAUGAUAUUUUGAAUUCAAAAAUUGAAUACGUUGUCUAUUUUUACAGGUUUAGUUAGUAUAUUACAUGCAAUUCUUGAAACUAUAAAUUCAUAAAAGUAAUUAGUUUAAAUUUUAAAAUAAAAAUACUUGACUAAUUCAAAUUAAAUAAAUUGAAAGGUUAAAAAGUAAAAUCAAAAUUUUGAAAGAUUGGAUAGCCAAUUCAGAAAGAUCCACAGUUCAUGUGAGUUUUGUACAUUUUUAUUUUUUGUUUUAAAAAUCUAGCAAGUAAGAAAUUCGAGUUUAUGAAUAAUUAAGAUUUUUUUUUUUUGCUUUUCUGAAGGAAUUAAUUAAUGGCAAUGUCUGUGGUCAGUUGCAUCAAUUAAAAUUAAGGGUCAACUUCAAAUACCACCCAUUUGGUUUCUUAUUUUUUUACUUUAGUAUCAUGUGAUUUAAAAUAUAUCAAUUUAGUACCCCGUGGUUUCAUUUUUAUCUUUUCAUCAGUCCCUCCGUUAUAACUUUUCAUUAAAUCAUAUACAAAAAACUUCAGAUAUCACACUUAUAGUUUAUCGAAUUUUACUUUAAUACCCUUUAAUUAGUUUUAACUUUGUUACUGAUUUACCGAAAAAAAAUUAGUGAAGGGAAUAACAAAACGGAGAAAAAUAAAACCAGGGUAAGAAAGUGAUACACUUUAAAUCAAAAAAUAUUAAAAUGAGAAAGUAUGAAACCACGGGAAUGAUAUUUAAAGUUUUUUCUAAAAAUAAUACCCUAGCUAAAAUUUUACUUGCUUAUGGAAUGUGCUGUUGUGAAUGAAUGUAUUCUGGUAAAUGAAUUGGCGGUCUAAAUUAAAAUGACUAACAAAUCAAGGGAGAAAUUACACUACAACAGAAUUAGGUUAUAGCGACACAUGUUUGGGACACUUUUUUAUAUGUGUCACGUUUAUGUCAAAACUUAAAAAAAUUCUAUUAAUGUCUAAAUAUAAAGUCCAAUCCAACUAAAAAUAAAAGGGUACUCUACUCGACCCACUCCACUUAGCCCAUCCGGCCCGAUUACAAACAGAAAAGAAAAAGAAAAGAAAAAGAAAAGAAAAUUCGAUUAUCAUUUUUCCUUUUCCCGUCACUCAAUCGACUGAAAUCCUAAACGAAGAUCAUUUCCUCUUGUCCUCCUCCGCCACCGUAGCCAACGAGGUAGAGUUCCGGCGGUUGCUAGAUGUUUAAAUAAAUAUUGGUAAAUUAGCAGCACUCUUUUAGAUUAUAGCAACACUCUUUAACUGUCACUAUAUAUCUAGCGACCCCACAUGUAGCAACACUUUUCAAAUGUGUCGGUAAAUUUAGCCGGCAGCACUUUUUUGACCUAUACCGACAUUUAAAAGUGUCGCUAUAGACCGUNCACUACAACAGAAUUAGGUUAUAGCGACACAUGUUUGGGACACUUUUUUAUAUGUGUCACGUUUAUGUCAAAACUUAAAAAAAUUCUAUUAAUGUCUAAAUAUAAAGUCCAAUCCAACUAAAAAUAAAAGGGUACUCUACUCGACCCACUCCACUUAGCCCAUCCGGCCCGAUUACAAACAGAAAAGAAAAAGAAAAGAAAAAGAAAAGAAAAUUCGAUUAUCAUUUUUCCUUUUCCCGUCACUCAAUCGACUGAAAUCCUAAACGAAGAUCAUUUCCUCUUGUCCUCCUCCGCCACCGUAGCCAACGAGGUAGAGUUCCGGCGGUUGCUAGAUGUUUAAAUAAAUAUUGGUAAAUUAGCAGCACUCUUUUAGAUUAUAGCAACACUCUUUAACUGUCACUAUAUAUCUAGCGACCCCACAUGUAGCAACACUUUUCAAAUGUGUCGGUAAAUUUAGCCGGCAGCACUUUUUUGACCUAUACCGACAUUUAAAAGUGUCGCUAUAGACCGUUUUUGUUGUAGUGUUAAGACAACGUUGUUGGCGCGCUCAACUUAAGACUGACCGAUCUGUUCGUUAUAAGGGGGUUCCUCUCGCUGUCUUGCUAACUUUAAAAGAGGCACAUGCUGGUAGGCUAUUCGAAGGAUUAAUUCUAUCAAAUUCUUAGGCCUUGUUUCAUAUUAUGUUUAUUAUUUUAUUUAAAAAAAAAAACUUUUAUAUGUUGAUAUUGUUAGGAUUCGGUUAAAUAGUUGAUUUCUAGUUGAAUAGGAUUGAUAUUUAAAUCUAUUAUAGAUAAAUUAAUUAAGAUUUAAAUAUUAAUAAAAUAGAAUUUCAAAUUAUAUUAGGAUUGGGAUAUAUUUUUUGUGGGAGCUAUAUAUAUUAGCACAUUAAGCUUCCGAAGGUAUCAGCCAAGGCUGAAGGCUUAAUUGGGGGUAUGGGACCUUGGAUAGUCCAUAUGAGAGAGGGAAAGUUGGCCGGGUUGCACGCACUUUGUGCACAGGUGCAUGUGAGAGAGAAAGACGAUAGUCUUUUAGAUUUAUAAAAGACUAGAGAAAGAUGAUAGAGAUUUAGAAAGAGGACUCGAGUUGAAGCUACUCUACUAUAGAAAAGGAGUCAGAUACAAUCUUCUUUUAAUUAUUUUAUAUGUAUAUUUUAUGUUUGAUUUUUCUCUCCUUUGUUGUUAUUGUCAGCAAUAGCCUUUUUGUUGAAGAGACGGGUAUAUGAUAAAAAUCCGAUUUGGUGCUUCUGUUGUGGGAUCCCAACAACUGAUACCGAAUCAACAAUAAUUUAUAUCAAAGCAGGUUGCAGAUUAUCAAAACUUGGUAUCAGGGUGAGCACCAGAUUUUCAACAAUUGGUAUCAGAGCUUAAGGUUAUCGAUUCUCAGGUGAGAUCUAUAGAGAUGGCCACAAAGUUUGAAAUCGAGAAGUUCGAUGGCAAGACCAGUAUCGGCUUGUGGCAAUUAAAGUAUGGUCAAUCCUUGUAAAACAAGAGUUAGACGAGAUAUUGAACGAAUUAAAGAGGCGGAGCCGGCGGAUGUCAUUGAUGCGAUAUGGGAGAAGAUGGAGCGAAAGGCACUGAGUACGUUUCAUCUAUUAUUAGCAAAUGAGAUUCUUUACAAUGUAGCCAGCGAGUUGAUAGCGGCAAAAUUGUGAAAAAAAUUAGAAGAUCUGUAUAUGACCAAAUUCCUGACAAAUAGAUUGUAUCUGAAGUACCGACUGUUCAUGCUACGAAUGCACGAAAUAGCGAAAAUAUAUGAGCAUCUAAACGAGUUCCAUAAGGUGGUGGACCAAUUAACCAGUAUCGGAGUCAAUUUGGAUGACGAGAAAAAAACGCUGAUUUUAUUAUGUUCGUUACCGGUAGCAUAUGAGCAUCUAGUGACCACAUUGCUUUAUGACAAAGGGACCAUGAGUGUGAAUGUUGUCACGACGACAUUUCUCUCAAAUAAGAUAUGGAAGAUGACUCAGGUAUCCAGUGCGCAGAGUUGGGAUAAAACUUUAGUUGUGAAAACGAAGAAGGAGACGAAAAUAUCGACGACCAUGGAUAGACAGAAGAAGCCGCUAUCUAAGGUGGAGAGCUUCCACUAUUACAAGAAAGGGAACAUAAAGCACAACUGUCGGAAACUUCAGAAUGAUCUAAAAGAGUUGAAGUGAUAGAAAGAGAACUAUCGUGAACAAUAACAAGGCAACAUCAGCAAUGGCCAAGACGGCAAAGUCAGAGAUGGUUGAUUCUGAUGUGUUAAAUGUGGCAACUAGUGCUAAAAUUUCAAAUGAUGCGUGAGUAUUUGAUUCGGCGUGUUCCUUUCACGUCUCCCUAGAGGAGUCUUUUGCCACCUAGAAGGAGAUCAAAGGUGGAAAAGCUCUCAUGCGGAACAGGAUGGCGUGCAGUGUUUUGGGAAUCACCACGGUGAAGAUCUAGAUGCACGAUGGGGUUGUGAGGACGUUGACAGGUAUGCGGCACGUUGUUUGUUUGAAGCGGAAUUUGAUCUCGCUAGAUGCGUUGGACUCGAAGGGUUGCAAUUUUCCUGGUUUAGAUGGAGCUAUGAGGUUUCGAAAGCUAUAUCGGAUCGUGUGUAAGGCGAACAAGCUCGGGAACUUAUACGUUCUGAAUAUGAGCACAAUCAGAAUAGGAGAAAUAUCAAUUUGGGUACCAAAAGUUUUCAAAGAUGUAGUCGCUCGAAGUGGCGCUACAGAUGUAGCAACAUCGAAUAGAGGAGACAAGCUCAAGGAAGAGCUUACAUGAUGAGCUCAACACGGCGGUUAAAGACUAUACAAAUCAAACAAGAUGGCGAUUGUUAGAAUUUAGUUAGAUUUGUAGUUAAUUUCUAAUUGAAUGAAGAUUAAUAUUCAAAUAUAUUAAGAUUCGGUAAAUUUUUUUUGGAUGCUACAUAUAUAGCAAAUUAAGCUUGGAUGGUACGACCAAGGCUGAAGGCUUUAGUGGUAUUGGACCUUAGGUAGUCCGUAUGAGAGAGAGAGAGAGAGAAAGAGAGAGAGAGAGAGAGAGUUGGCCAACCUAGCGCUGGACUCAAAGGUUUACAAUUUUUAGACUUUAGAUGGAACUAUGAGGAUCCGAAAGUGAGAUCGGAUCGUGUGCAAGGCGAACAAGUGCAGGAAUUUAUACGUUUUGAAUGGAAGUACAAUCAGAAUGGGAGGAAAGUCAAUUUGGAUUCCAACAGUUUUCAAAGGUGCAGUCGCUCAAGGUGGAGCGACGGAUGCAGCGAUAUCGAGCAGAGGAGACAAGCUUAAGGUAAAGCCUAUAUGGUGAGCUUGACACAACGGUUAAAGAUUACAAUCAAAUCAAGGUAGAGAUUAUUAGAAUUUGGUUAUAUUUGUAAUUGAUUUCUUAUUGAAUGAUAAUUAAUAUUCAAAUAUAUAUACAGUGAGGCUUGUAUGCUUCUGAAAGCACAAAGCCAUCCGUCCUUCCAAAUGUUGGGACUUUCGAAUCGACGAUCGGCUCUGUUAGAUUUGAUCUAGAGUAUUUGAAGUAUCUAGAAAAUAAAUUUAAUUUGCAAUUUUUCGAUAUCUUUUGCCUAAUGAUCGAAGGGGCUCAAAAUCAAUAAUUUUGAUGACCGUGGUGAGCCAUUUGCAAGUUCAACUUGGGUGGUACAGCCAAGGCUGAAGGUAGGGUAUUGGAACUUAGGUAGUCCGUACGAGAGAGAGGGAGGGAGUUGGCCGGGUUGCAUCCGCCUUGUGCACCGGUGCAUGUGAGGGAGAAAGCGGACAGUCUUUAAAGUUUAUAAAAGACGAGAGAAGGAUAAAAGAGAUUUAGAAAGAGAGGUCGAGUUGAAACUAUUCUAUUAUAGAAGAGAAGUCAAGUGUAAUAUUCUCUUAAUUAGUAAAUCUUAUUUUAUCUGUAUAUUUUAUAUUUGAUUUUUCUCUCCUUUGUGGUUAUGCCAAUAAUAACCUUUUCGCUGAGGAGGUGGGUUUAUAAUAAAAAACCGUGCUUUCAUUGUGGAAUCCCAAUAAUUGAUACCGAAUGAACAGUCGUCGAUAUCGGAAUUAUAGAUUCUCAAAAUCUAGUAUCAGGGCGAGUAUCAGAUUCCCAACAGAAACAUACCGAAUGAAUAGUGGAUAAUUUAAAUUAUUUUAUCUAAUGUGUUUACUUAAUUAGCAACAAAAAAAUAUUUAUCUAUUGCUGCUAAUUUUUUUAAAAAAAUAAGUUAUUAUUUAUAACUUAACUGAAUGCAUCGUAAACUAGUCAAUUAUAAUAAUAAAAAAUAAUCUUUUCUCUAACAUAUUAAAAUAUAUAAAUUUAAUAUUUAAGAAAUAAUUACGAGAACUUUGAUUUGUAGUUCCCAUGCCACGAAAGAGAACACAAAGUGCUACAAAGAGAGAUGUGAUUUCAAAGAGAAAGAUGGAGCUUUGUGAAGCUUUGGUAGGAGCGUGCAUGGAGGGUGAGAAAAGUGACAAAGGAGAUUAAUUCGGAUAAAGCUACAUUAGGAACAAGCGUAUUUAAAUAUAUUUUCUAUUGGUUAGUAAUUAGUCUCUCGUACAUUUUUAUAUUUUGUUUUCCAGAGCCGUAUUGAAGAUUUCAACAUGUGACUAUUUGACCUAAUUUCUAAUCUAGUUUUCUAUUUCUAAAACCAACAACCACAUUUGACAAGCCAACAAUAAUAAUAAUAAUAAUAAUAAUAAUAAGGUAAAACUUAUACAUGGAGACCCGGCCCCUGAAUUGACUCCCACCGUAUAACCGACCGUCCUAGCGCAAGUGGCAAAGGACUUAGUGAUUGAUAUUCGAGACCCAACUUUGAAUCCUAGUUAAUUCACAUUUCUAGCUAAGUUUAUUUCUAAAUGAAAUAAACGAAGCGGGUAGCAUGUUACCUUUCUCUCUCUCUCUCUCUCAAAAAAAAAAAAAAAAAAAAAAAAAAAAAAAAAAAAAAAACAAAGACUCCCACCAUAUAUAGUUGGGCAUCAAGUUUGAUUUCGGAUUAAUUGAGAAAAGAAUUUUUUUCUACUAAUAAUUAUUUGAAUUUAAAUAUAAAUCUAAAAACAUAAGCUCAUUAGAUUAAAUUUAAAUUUAAAUUUAAAAUUUAUUUUUUAAAUUUUUAAUUUAGUAAUUCUAAAUUUAAAUGUUGACUUUGACGUUGAACUUGAAUUGUAAAUUUAAAUUUUAAGCUCAAAUUUAAAUUCAAAUUUUGAUGAUGAAUUUGAAUAAGAAUUUGAAUAACAAAUUUAAAAUUUAAUAAAAAUUUAAUUUUUAGAAUUUUUGUUUGAACAUAAUUUCGAUUCUGAUUCCUCUUAUGGACCAAACAAAUUAUUUUUUUAUCAUUCUAUUUUCGAUUCUGGCUCAUUCCUAUUCAUGUUCUGAAUUCGAUUUUUCCUAUUUUAAACCAAUUAAUUAUGCUCCAGUAUAUUUAAUGUAAUUUUUGUAAUUAUAAAUUUAUUCAAAUAAGUAAUUAAUUUAAAAUUUGAAGUUAAAUUAUCAUUGACUAAUUCAAAUUAAACAAAUUGAAAGGUUAGUUACAAAAUCAAAAAUUUCAAAGUUUAGACAACUGAUUCAAAAUAUUUCAUAACCCAGACAAAUUUUGUACAUUUUUAUCUAAAAUUUAUGCUACGAAGGAAGGUUUGCUUCACCUACAACCAAAAGCCAUCUCUCUCUCUCUCUCUCUCUCUCUCUCUCUCUCUCUCUCUUCUUCUGACAAGCAUUAAAGAUACAAGAUUUUUUUUUUUUUUUUUUUUUUUUUUUUUUUUNGAGGUCACAGCGCGUUCACGGACACAAGGAAGGAGGAAAGAGACCUCAUCGGUCGUAACGUCGUUCCGCGGAAGCUGUUUCACCGAAGUCCUUUUGCGGAAUCGGAGAGCAGAGAAGGUGCUGCUACUACUACCAAAAUAAAAAAUUAAAUUAAAUAAUUUUUUAAUUUAAAUUAUUUGUUUAAUUUAAAUAAUUUUUUAAUUUUAUUUGUUUGAAUUUAGCAGGUCAAUUUUGCUCAGCCAAGCCCGGUGUCCUCUGACGUUUUUAUUUUUUAUUUUUUAUUUUUUUUUUAGAGAGAUAGGUAACACGCUACCCGUUUCAUUUAUUUUAUUUAGAAAUAAACUUAGCUGAAAAUGUGAAUCAACUAGGAUUCGAAUUUGGGACUUCGGAUACCAACUACCAAGCCCUUUGUCGCUUGCUCUAGGAACAGUCGGUCAAGAUACAAGUUUUUAAGAUGAAUGAAUUAUACACGGGCCUAAUGUGUAGGCCCCAGCUAGGUAUAUAUGGGCCCAGAAUUGUGCAAUUAGUUGAGUGGACCAUCAAAUGAAAAUAGGAUUAAAUAAUGAGACUCGACACGCUUUGUGUUCCGGUAUUUAUAACGACAAUGCAAUAAUGUACACCUAUUCAAUUCCUCAUGUAAUUUUCUACUGCAUUUAAUACAUGCCAUGAUUUUGUCUCCUUGUACAAAUAACUUGGACCGCUGCAAACUGGUGGAAUGACGCUAAAAUAGAUAUUAAUAUCAGAUGCGCUUCACAUGAGCAAUAAUUUGGACCGUACAAAUUAACUGACAAUAAUCCGCUAAAUAAGGGAAUAGAACUCAAUAUUUUGGGUCUCCAAAACACUUUCCUUUGUUUGCUGGCAAUCCCAUGUUAAACUUCUCAAUUGCCUGCAGUAUCUCGUCAAAUCCCUAUCUAUUAUAAUAACUAGCGGUACAUUAAUAAUAUAUAAAGAUAAUAUUACAAAGGAUUUAUAUCGAUACUGUAUAUUGGUAUUGCGAAAAAUCAACACUUUGAGGCCAUACGAGAAAUUCCGUAGAUAUUGAAAGGAUGGCUUGAAGAGACUUAAUUAUCUGUUAUAUUUAGUGAAAAGUUAACUGUUAUCGUAAGAGAUUGCAGGAAAGAAUAUGUUGUUUGGAAUAUAAAGAGAAUUAGUGUGUUAUAUCUGGGGAAAAUAUAUUGGGGGAAAAUUUUUUUUAUUUGCUUAAUUACAUGGUAGCACGUCUUUCAUAUUACACUAAUAAUUCAGUUAAAAUAUAAUUUCUACGGUUCCAUAAGAAAACUUAGAAAUAUGUUUCCUAUAUGUUUCUAGCUAGCCCAAAAUUCUUUUUACAUUAUUAGGGGCAGCUCUCAAUAUUAAAUGAACCGUUAGUAACUUGUUGCAUCAUUAUCAUCUUUCACAUAAUUUGUCUAUUUUGUGGACCACGAUAUACGACUAAAAGGAUCUGGCGAAUAUUUUGUUCAGUAGAUAUACUUUGUUUAUAGUAAAAAUGUACGUACAUAAGUUACUAAAUUAUGGACCAUGUUAAGUCGGCGAUCCAAUCUUUCAAAAAUUUGAUUUUACUAUCUAACAUUUCAAUUUAUUUGGUUCGAGUCAGUCAACGGUAAAACUACACCAUGCGUAAAAAUAAACAACACAUUCAAAUUUAAGAUUAAAUUGUUGUUGACUAAUCCAAAUUAAAAAAUUGAAAGAUGAUAAAAUGAAAAAUUUUGAAGUUGGAUAGCCAACUCAAAAUAGUCCAUAAUUCCUAUAAAUUCUGUACAUUUUUAUCUUUGUUUAUUUAUAGACCUUACAAAAAUUAGAAGAUGAGGAACGUGAUUAGAUGUCUACAACCGUAUAAUUAAUAUUUAUGACCUCUACAUUAUUUUUUGGAAUAAAAAUAAAUUUCUCCUGAAUACAAUGAAAUUUUAAUGCAUAGAAUUGUCUUGCCUUUUUGGGCAAGAGUGUGUUUAUAUUGCUAGUCUUUUAUUAGCAAAUCAUAAUCAUAUUAUUGUCUUGCGUAAAUUGCACGUUUGGCCUUCAAACUAUGGAGCAUGCGACAUUUUAGUAUUUAAAUUUUAAUUUAUUGUAAUUUUUAGCUCAAACUUUUAGAAUUAUUGCAAUUAAGUCCCGCUAUAAAUUAGUUGACUAAAUUUUAUCAUAUUGUUGAUAUAAAAGUGAUGUGACAUUAUAAUUACUUGUGCAUAUGCAUCAUCAAUCACAACACUAUUAUAUCACCUCAUAUUAGUGAUAUAUCGAUAUUUAGUUAAUUAAAUUGUGUUAUAAGUCUUGAUUGCAAUAAUUCUGAAAGUUCAAGCUAAAAGUUAGAACAAAUUAAAGUUUGAGGAUCAAAGUGUCAAUGGCCUCUUAGUGUGAGGACCAAGUGUGCAAUUUAGUUUGAGAAGUAAUUUCUACUGAAUUGAUUUUGAUUUGAAAAAUUACUAUCGAGUUAAAAGCUAUAGAGUAUUUAACUGAAUUUGAUAGAAAAAUAAUUUUUCUAAAAUAAUUUUGUAAAGCUGUUUGAUAAUUUUUAAAAAAAAAAAAAAAACUGAGGUGGUUGUUCUUGCUGUAAAAUGCUAAUAUUACCUAACUACUUGUAAAUCUAGAGCUGUAGUUAAUUUUAGUACUAUUUAUGAAAGAAAAUAUAUGGUAAUAUUUGUCAAUAAACCUUAAGAAAUCAACAACUAUUUGUGAAUAAGAAUACAUGAUAGUGAAUAAAAAUUAGAACAAUAAUCUAUCUAAAUACACUAAACAGAGAUGCAACGAUACAAUCUUGAUUUGUUUGAUUAUAAUGUAAUCAUUUUACUCUGCUAUCAUUCCAUACCAAAAUACUUGUACUACUUUCAUCUUCUUCCACUAUCUACAUAAAGACAUUACCAUUCAUAAACGACAAACAAAAAAACCGACUUGUGGUCCACUAAUUCUAUUUGUUUAAAAUAUUACUCGUUAAUUGAACAACAUUAUAUGAGCAGUAGUAUGUGGAUUAUAUGGUGUAUAUCAAUUAUUAAAUAUAUGGCCACCACUCACAUCCUGGACCUCCUUUAUGAAAACUAUUUUGCAAACAUUUCUUAUUUGAAAGCAGAAUUGCAUACAAGCUAUUUGAAGAUUAAUUUAGAAUAUUAUGCAGAGCGCGGCAUACCCACUAUACAGAUAGAGCCUCUUCUACGUAUCUGCUGCAUAGAUAUAAGACAACAACAUAACAUGAUCACUAAUUACACAUCAUGCACUAUUUAUAUAUAUGGCAGAAACAAUCACUACACAAGCUAAAUGAAGCUUAACAAACCAUCAAUUAUUCCAAUCAACAAAAAUCCUCAAAUACUAGCAUACAAAUCUGAAACUAAUUGAGAGGAACGACCAGGUAACUCUCUCUCUCUCUCUCUCUCUCUCUCUCUCUUUUUAAAAUCUCAACUCUGUCGCUCCCUCUAACCUUAAAUCUCUCUCUUUAAGCUAAGUUCUUCCUCUCUUUUUAUCUCUCUAUAUCUCUAACCUAAAAGCUCGGUUUUUAAUCCCAACUCUCUCUCCCUCUAACCUGAAAUUUCUCUCUCUCUCUCUAAGUUAAGCUCUUCCAAUUUACCUAAAAACAAAUUCUUUAUUAUUGUUGAAAAGAAAAAGGUAUAUUAGCUAGCUGUUUUGUUUAUUACUAUUUGAUCAUUAGUAUCUUAUACAACUUUUCUAUAAAGAUGUUGAAAUUUCUGAUAGCAUUAUCUGCUAUUAAUUAACGAAGCAAAUAUAUUAAUUGUAUAUUUUUCAUAAUCUUAAAUAAUUUGAUCGUACGAACUAAACACCGGAAUGUCAAAUUCUUAGUAAUAGAAUGAGAAAGAAUAAGAUCUUUGGACAUCUUGGAUUUCCUAGUAAAUUUUU
RNAcentral lists this long non-coding RNA (32534 nucleotides) under Ananas comosus (pineapple). RNAcentral describes it as "long non-coding RNA (ACOM_LNC010036)". Lineage: Eukaryota; Viridiplantae; Streptophyta; Magnoliopsida; Poales; Bromeliaceae. The record is from RNAcentral.